GAUGAACGCUGGCGGCGUGCUUAACACAUGCAAGUCGAACGGUGAAGGCGGAGCUUGCUCUGCUGGAUCAGUGGCGAACGGGUGAGUAACACGUGAGCAAUCUGCCCCUGACUCUGGGAUAAGCGCUGGAAACGGCGUCUAAUACUGGAUACGAGCUGCGAAGGCAUCUUCAGCAGCUGGAAAGAAUUUCGGUCAGGGAUGAGCUCGCGGCCUAUCAGCUUGUUGGUGAGGUAAUGGCUCACCAAGGCGUCGACGGGUAGCCGGCCUGAGAGGGUGACCGGCCACACUGGGACUGAGACACGGCCCAGACUCCUACGGGAGGCAGCAGUGGGGAAUAUUGCACAAUGGGCGAAAGCCUGAUGCAGCAACGCCGCGUGAGGGACGACGGCCUUCGGGUUGUAAACCUCUUUUAGCAGGGAAGAAGCGAAAGUGACGGUACCUGCAGAAAAGCGCCGGCUAACUACGUG
This 467-nucleotide ribosomal RNA is filed under the name uncultured bacterium. RNAcentral's name for it is "partial 16S ribosomal RNA". It matches the Rfam family "Bacterial small subunit ribosomal RNA", at positions 28 to 507 of the family's 1533-position model. The record is from RNAcentral.